This 420-nucleotide ribosomal RNA is filed under the name bacterium Ellin5009. Its description in RNAcentral is "bacterial SSU rRNA". It matches the Rfam family "Bacterial small subunit ribosomal RNA", at positions 52 to 491 of the family's 1533-position model. The record is from RNAcentral. Lineage: Bacteria; Bacillati; Actinomycetota; Actinomycetes; Kitasatosporales; Streptomycetaceae.
CACAUGCAAGUCGAACGAUGAAGCCUUCGGGUGGAUUAGUGGCGAACGGGUGAGUAACACGUGGGAAAUCUGCCCUGCACUCCGGGACAAGCCUUGGAAACGAGGUCUAAUACCGGAUAUGACCUUCCUCCGCAUGGGGGUUGGUGGAAAGCUCCGGCGGUGCAGGAUGAUCCCGCGGCCUAUCAGCUUGUUGGUGGGGUAACGGCCCACCAAGGCGACGACGGGUAGCCGGCCUGAGAGGGCGACCGGCCACACUGGGACUGAGACACGGCCCAGACUCCUACGGGAGGCAGCAGUGGGGAAUAUUGCACAAUGGGCGAAAGCCUGAUGCAGCGACGCCGCGUGAGGGAUGACGGCCUUCGGGUUGUAAACCUCUUUCAGCAGGGAAGAAGCGCAAGUGACGGUACCUGCAGAAGAAGC